RNAcentral lists this transfer RNA (72 nucleotides) under Tribonema minus. It matches the Rfam family "tRNA". Rfam says of the family: Transfer RNA (tRNA) molecules are approximately 80 nucleotides in length. Their secondary structure includes four short double-helical elements and three loops (D, anti-codon, and T loops). Further hydrogen bonds mediate the characteristic L-shaped molecular structure. tRNAs have two regions of fundamental functional importance: the anti-codon, which is responsible for specific mRNA codon recognition, and the 3' end, to which the tRNAs corresponding amino acid is attached (by aminoacyl-tRNA synthetases). tRNAs cope with the degeneracy of the genetic code in two manners: having more than one tRNA (with a specific anti-codon) for a particular amino acid; and 'wobble' base-pairing, i.e. permitting non-standard base-pairing at the 3rd anti-codon position. Lineage: Eukaryota; Xanthophyceae; Tribonematales; Tribonemataceae. The record is from Rfam by way of RNAcentral.
GCUACGGUAGCUCAGCGGUAGAGCGUGUGCUUGACAUGCACAAGGUCGUGGGUUCGAAACCCAUCCGAAGUA